CCUACGGGAGGCAGCAGUGAGGAAUAUUGGUCAAUGGACGAGAGCCUGAACCAGCCAAGUAGCGUGAAGGAUGACUGCCCUAUGGGUUGUAAACUUCUUUUAUAAGGGAAUAAAAUGAGGCAUGUGUGCUUUUUUGCAUGUACUUUAUGAAUAAGGAUCGGCUAACUCCGUGCCAGUAGCCGCGGUAAUACGGAGGAUCCGAGCGUUAUCCGGAUUUAUUGGGUUUAAAGGGAGCGUAGGUGGGUUGUUAAGUCAGUUGUGAAAGUUUGCGGCUCAACCGUAAAAUUGCAAUUGAUACUGGCAGUCUUGAGUACAGUUGAGGUAGGCGGAAUUCGUGGUGUAGCGGUGAAAUGCUUAGAUAUCACGAAGAACCCCGAUUGCGAAGGCAGCUUACUAAACUGUGACUGACAUUGAUGCUCGAAAGUGUGGGUAUCAAACAGGAUUAGAUACCCCAGUAGUC
Molecule: ribosomal RNA, 460 nt
Filed under: uncultured bacterium
Lineage: Bacteria
Description: partial 16S ribosomal RNA
Rfam family: Bacterial small subunit ribosomal RNA
Source: RNAcentral